This is a long non-coding RNA of Arachis duranensis, 224 nucleotides long. RefSeq lists it as uncharacterized. The record is from RefSeq and is a predicted model, not a curated record. The transcript has 3 exons. NCBI's taxonomy places the organism in Eukaryota, Viridiplantae, Streptophyta, Magnoliopsida, Fabales, Fabaceae.
UAUAUCGUACUCAUCUUCGAAAAGUGAAAAUAUUUCUGAGUAUGAGUUUAAUUUUGAACAUAACUCACAGGAGACACCGAAGAGCAAAAAACAAUCUGAGAGAAUGGCAAAGAAGAAGCGCAUUAUUGAAGAUUCAUCUUCCCAAAUGGAGACUGAAUUUGAUGAUGAAAGUGAAGAAAUGGAGGAAAUAACAAAAAGAAGAUUGAAGAAAAAAAUGAUAAGCC